CCCAUGGUGUCCCAAUGGACGUCCCAAUGGAUGUCCCCGUGAUGUCCCCAUGGUGUCCCAAAGGAUGUCCCAGUGGAUGUCCCCAUGGUAUCCCAAUGGAUGUCCCCACAAUGUCCCCACAGUGUCCCCAUGGUGUCCUCGUGAGUGUCCCCAUGAUGUCCCCAUGGUGUCCCAUGGAUGUCCCCAUAGUGUCCCCAUGGUGUCCAAAUGGACAUCCCCAUGAUGUCCCCAUGGUGUCCCAAUGGUGUCCCAAUGGAUGUCCCCAUGGAUGUCCCCAUGAUGUCCCUAUAAUGUCCCCAAGG
RNAcentral lists this long non-coding RNA (302 nucleotides) under Phasianus colchicus (ring-necked pheasant). Its description in RNAcentral is "lncRNA (ENSPCLG00000016739.1)". Lineage: Eukaryota; Metazoa; Chordata; Aves; Galliformes; Phasianidae. The record is from RNAcentral.